GUAAUAAUCCUGUAGUCGAAAAUGUUGUCUCUCUUGAGUGGAUCCUGAGUACGACGGAGCACGUGAAAUUCCGUCGGAAUCUGGGAGGACCAUCUCCUAAGGCUAAAUACUCUCUAGUGACCGAUAGUGAACCAGUACCGUGAGGGAAAGGUGAAAAGCACCCCGGAAGGGGAGUGAAAUAGAACCUGAAACCGUGUGCUUACAAGUAGUCAGAGCCCGUUAAUGGGUGAUGGCGUGCCUUUUGUAGAAUGAACCGGCGAGUUACGAUUUGAUGCAAGGUUAAGCAGUAAAUGUGGAGCCGUAGCGAAAGCGAGUCUGAAUAGGGCGUUUAGUAUUUGGUCGUAGACCCGAAACCAGGUGAUCUACCCUUGGUCAGGUUGAAGUUCAGGUAACACUGAAUGGAGGACCGAACCGACUUACGUUGAAAAGUGAGCGGAUGAACUGAGGGUAGCGGAGAAAUUCCAAUCGAACCUGGAGAUAGCUGGUUCUCUCCGAAAUAGCUUUAGGGCUAGCCUCAAGUGAUGAUUAUUGGAGGUAGAGCACUGUUUGGACGAGGGGCCCCUCUCGGGUUACCGAAUUCAGACAAACUCCGAAUGCCAAUUAAUUUAACUUGGGAGUCAGAACAUGGGUGAUAAGGUCCGUGUUCGAAAGGGAAACAGCCCAGACCACCAGCUAAGGUCCCAAAAUAUAUGUUAAGUGGAAAAGGAUGUGGCGUUGCCCAGACAACUAGGAUGUUGGCUUAGAAGCAGCCAUCAUUUAAAGAGUGCGUAAUAGCUCACUAGUCGAGUGACACUGCGCCGAAAAUGUACCGGGGCUAAACAUAUUACCGAAGCUGUGGAUUGUCCUUUGGACAAUGGUAGGAGAGCGUUCUAAGGGCGUUGAAGCAUGAUCGUAAGGACAUGUGGAGCGCUUAGAAGUGAGAAUGCCGGUGUGAGUAGCGAAAGACGGGUGAGAAUCCCGUCCACCGAUUGACUAAGGUUUCCAGAGGAAGGCUCGUCCGCUCUGGGUUAGUCGGGUCCUAAGCUGAGGCCGACAGGCGUAGGCGAUGGAUAACAGGUUGAUAUUCCUGUACCACCUAUAAUCGUUUUAAUCGAUGGGGGGACGCAGUAGGAUAGGCGAAGCGUGCGAUUGGAUUGCACGUCUAAGCAGUAAGGCUGAGUAUUAGGCAAAUCCGGUACUCGUUAAGGCUGAGC
This 1193-nucleotide ribosomal RNA is filed under the name Staphylococcus aureus. RNAcentral's name for it is "partial 23S ribosomal RNA". It matches the Rfam family "Bacterial large subunit ribosomal RNA", at positions 364 to 1561 of the family's 2925-position model. The record is from RNAcentral. Lineage: Bacteria; Bacillati; Bacillota; Bacilli; Caryophanales; Staphylococcaceae. RNAcentral also lists the same sequence under 1 other name.